CGGUAACUGCUCGUGGCCGGCGGUGGAGAUUGGACUGAUUUUUCAAAGACAUACUCUAAGGAGCCCAGAAAAAUCCAGUGUGGGAAAGGAGACCACUGACACCAGGCACACUCUGCCCAGCAAGAAUGUGGCAGAAGCUGCUGUGUUGCACACUGCCCUGUGAUGAGAGCCAC
Neomonachus schauinslandi (Hawaiian monk seal) is the source of this 173-nucleotide long non-coding RNA. RefSeq lists it as uncharacterized. The transcript is spliced from 3 exons. Lineage: Eukaryota; Metazoa; Chordata; Mammalia; Carnivora; Phocidae. The record is from RefSeq and is a predicted model, not a curated record.